Molecule: long non-coding RNA, 208 nt
Filed under: Hordeum vulgare
Lineage: Eukaryota; Viridiplantae; Streptophyta; Magnoliopsida; Poales; Poaceae
Description: long non-coding RNA (HVUL_LNC007321)
Source: RNAcentral
UUCAUUAGUGUGCCUAGCAAGAUGUCCAGGAUAUUCUUCUUGAUAUGCAUUUGAUUAAGGCAAUUAGGCGUGUCGUGAUUGGGCCAGUAGUCCAAGUCCUAGAAAAUAGACCUCGUUUUUCAUACCUUUAACAACGGCUCUGACGCCUUUUUCAUCUUUCCUGACGCAUAGCAAUGUUUCCUAGUUUUGAAUAGCUCAUCGAUUUUGG